Molecule: ribosomal RNA, 141 nt
Organism: Cavia aperea (Brazilian guinea pig)
Lineage: Eukaryota; Metazoa; Chordata; Mammalia; Rodentia; Caviidae
Rfam family: 5.8S ribosomal RNA
About the family: 5.8S ribosomal RNA (5.8S rRNA) is a component of the large subunit of the eukaryotic ribosome. It is transcribed by RNA polymerase I as part of the 45S precursor that also contains 18S and 28S rRNA.
Source: Ensembl
UACUCUUAGCGGUGGAUCCCUCGACUUGUGUGUUGAUGAAGAACUCAGCUAGCUGCGAGAAUUAAUGUGAAUUGAUCACUGACACUUCGGAUGCAGUUGUGGACCGGGAUUCCUCCCAGGGCUAUGCAUGUCUGAGCUUCA